This 484-nucleotide ribosomal RNA is filed under the name uncultured bacterium. Its description in RNAcentral is "partial 16S ribosomal RNA". It matches the Rfam family "Bacterial small subunit ribosomal RNA", at positions 30 to 507 of the family's 1533-position model. The record is from RNAcentral.
AUUGAACGCUGGCGGCAGGCCUAACACAUGCAAGUCGAGCGGUUGAAGGGAGCUUGCUCCUGGAUUCAGCGGCGGACGGGUGAGUAAUGCCUAGGAAUCUGCCUGGUAGUGGGGGAUAACGUGCGGGAACGGGCGCUUAUACCGCAUACGGCCUCAGGGAGCAAGUGGGUGAUCUUUGGACCUCACGCUCUCAGCUUAGCUUAGCUCGCAUUAGCUAGUUGGUGGGGUAAAGGCAUACCAAGGCGACGAUCCGUAACUUGUCUGAGGGGAUGAGCAGGCACACUGGAGCUGAGACACGGCCCAGACUCCUAGGGGCGGCAGAGGUGGGGACUAGUGGACGCUGGGCGGAAGACUGCUCCAGGCGUGCCGGGUGGGUGCAGAAGGUCUUCGUAUUGUAAAGCACUUUUAGUGGGGUGAACGGGCAGUGGGUGAAUACAUGGCUGUUUUGACGUUACCAACAGAAUAAGCGCCGGCUAACUUCGUG